GUUAUGGUUUUGGUGACAUUCAACAAUAAGAAGAGCUAAACCGGAGCUAGUUCAAUUAGCGUCUUGGUACAAGGUUAUAAGAAGGUGAUAACCGGGAUGGUUAUUGGAAUCGGCUUAUGACAUAAGUGUACCGGUCUUCUUUAUAUAUAGAAGAAGAAAGGUGAUGUCAAUCUAUUGAGAGUCAGCUGAUUUGAGCUGAGAGAGAAAGGUUGUUACAGAAUCAGAGAGAGAAAGAAGAUCGUUUCUUGAGUGUGCUGUACUUGUAUCAUCUCUUGAUCAUCUUCUUUGUAAAGACUCUUGGAGUGAUUAGUGAAACCUUUUGCUUGUGCCGUCAAGCCCCAGAUGUAAAGGAUCCACAUUGGAUCCCGAACUGGGUUACCAAAUUCUCUGUGUCUUUCUUUACGUUUUCUUUAGAG
Molecule: long non-coding RNA, 416 nt
Filed under: Brassica napus (rape)
Lineage: Eukaryota; Viridiplantae; Streptophyta; Magnoliopsida; Brassicales; Brassicaceae
Description: long non-coding RNA (BNAP_LNC003268)
Source: RNAcentral